CACCACUCCUUCCAAGUAGCCAGACAGGGCCAGGAACCGGUUGAUCUUCAUGUUGACCUCUUGUGUUUUCGACUCGUUUGCCAACCCACCUGGCCUGCUCCGCAGGAACAUGUAGUCUACAUAUGAGUCAACGAUUGAAACUGCAACAACUUCUCCGACCAUGCAUCACCCUUGCAUUGGGUUCCAGGCUCAGGCAGUAUUUCGGCAUUAGGAAUGAAAAGUCCUCUUCCUCCUCCUCCUCAUCCUCCACCUUCUCAUCCUCCUAUGCCGAGUCAUCAUGAGUGGCGAGUCUGCUGGUCACCUUUCCUGAAGUUUUCGCGACCUGUAAAUGACGUUUAAAUGUAAAAGUUACAAAUCGUUUGGUAUGGUUUUGUAUUAGACAUUGAUAGAAAUAUGAGAAAUUAAAUACAAAAACCACACGAACACAAUUUAACACUUACUUUCCGGAAACGGCCCUCUUGUGUAAACAAAAUUGAAUGUCCCAGCCUCCAUUUUGUGCUCCUGUUCUAGAUGACGCAGCCGGUCAAUCACCGACCGGUCGCACAGCCAGCAAGAGUAGUAAUUCCUCGGCUUUGUCUUCUUCACUUUCCGACCGGUCUUAGCACGUGCCUCUGACAUCAACGGCUUCAUGGGGUCUGCCGUCAGCGCUUGCACCCAGCGAACGUGGUCUGUUACCCGGAGGUACACAGUCGUGUUGCCUUUUACCACGCAAAUGGGGCAUUGCCUUGGGAUAGGCUUUGCGUUUGGUGUCUGAAAUAUUAGUUUGAAAUGUGUACGAAGCAGGUGGCUAUCAAUAUAUAUGAUUUAUUAAGAGAUGAUGAGAUAACGGACCCAGUUAAUUGAUUGAAAUAAUGAUUAUUUGAUUGAAGCUGUUAUGCUAGGGUAAAAUACCAAGGAAUGUGUAUAGAUAUUGUUAACUUUUUUUUAAUGGUGUUAAAAAUGAAUAUUUUAUUGCAAUAUUUGCACAUGCUUUGUUUUAUUUUACAAAGUAAUCACUAUUAACCUUAAGUUUAUUCUCAUGAAAAAAACAUACCAUUAAAUAGCAAUACUGAUUACUUUAUCUAUUUGAGUGACAUUAAGAGUGACCAUGUACAUGUAUAUAUCAAUCUAUACUGUCUAACCCCCCUUGCAGAUAUUAUUGACAGGUAAAUAUAAUAUUAUAUACCGUCUUAUAACGAUUCAAGACUUGGCCAAAAUAAGGCCCCAUUCCCUCAACAAAAAAGUAUUAAUUUUUCCCCAGAUAAAAAUUCACCCGACACUCAAGCAAAUUAAUUGCCCUAGACCCAGAAUUGUCAAGUUUAAAAUGUUUAAAACUAAAUAGAAUUGUUAUGUAUUUAAUUUGGCGGUGAUUAAAAAAACAUAUUAUA
Long non-coding RNA from Dreissena polymorpha, 1367 nucleotides. RefSeq lists it as uncharacterized. Lineage: Eukaryota; Metazoa; Mollusca; Bivalvia; Myida; Dreissenidae. The record is from RefSeq and is a predicted model, not a curated record. The transcript has 2 exons.